Molecule: long non-coding RNA, 154 nt
Filed under: Haliotis rubra (blacklip abalone)
Lineage: Eukaryota; Metazoa; Mollusca; Gastropoda; Lepetellida; Haliotidae
Description: uncharacterized LOC124279675
Source: RNAcentral
UAUAACUGAUGGUCCAGGUUUAGAUAUAACUGAUGAUCCAGGUUUAGAUAUAACUGAUGAUCCAGGUUUAGAUAUAACUGAUGAUUCAGGUUUAGAUAUAACAGAUGAUUCAGGUUUAGAUAUAACUGAUGUUCCAGGUUUAGAUAUAACGGAU